GAGUUUGAUCCUGGCUCAGAACGAACGCUGGCGGCGUGCUUAACACAUGCAAGUCAGGGAGAAAGUCUCUUCGGGGAUGAUUAAACCGGCGCACGGGUGAGUAACACGUGAGUGACCUGCCUUUUAGACUGGAACAACUUACCGAAAGGUGAGCUAAUGCCGGAUGAGUUAUAUAAGUGCAUGUUUAUAUAGGAAAAGUUGGGGAGACCUGACGCUGAAAGAUGGACUCGCGUCCCAUUAGCUAGUUGGUAGGGUAAUGGCCUACCAAGGCGACGAUGGGUAGCCGGCCUGAGAGGGUGGCCGGCCACACUGGGACUGAGACACGGCCCAGACUCCUACGGGAGGCAGCAGUGGGGAAUUUUGCGCAAUGCUCGUAAGAGUGACGCAGCGACGCCGCGUGAAUGACGAAGGCCUUCGGGUCGUAAAGUUCUUUCGACAGGGAAGAAAAUGCCUAUAAGUAACUGUGUAUGUAUUGACGGUACCUGUAUAAGCAGCCCCGGCUAACUCCGUGCCAGCAGCCGCGGUAAUACGGA
This 533-nucleotide ribosomal RNA is filed under the name uncultured bacterium. Its description in RNAcentral is "bacterial SSU rRNA". It matches the Rfam family "Bacterial small subunit ribosomal RNA", at positions 9 to 529 of the family's 1533-position model. The record is from RNAcentral.